AUACGGAGGGUGCAAGCGUUACUCGGAAUCACUGGGCGUAAAGCGCGCGCAGGCGGCUUGAUAAGUUGGAUGUGAAAGCCUACGGCUCAACCGUAGAACUGCAUCCAAAACUGUCAGGCUAGAGUCUGGGAGGGGAAGAUGGAAUUAGUUGUGUAGGGGUAAAAUCCGUAGAGAUAACUAGGAAUACCAAAAGCGAAGGCGAUCUUCUGGAACAGUACUGACGCUGAGGCGCGAAAGCGUGGGGAGCAAACGGGAUUAGAAACCCCGGUAGUCC
Molecule: ribosomal RNA, 274 nt
Filed under: uncultured bacterium
Lineage: Bacteria
Description: partial 16S ribosomal RNA
Rfam family: Bacterial small subunit ribosomal RNA
Source: RNAcentral